Molecule: long non-coding RNA, 620 nt
Organism: Apis mellifera (honey bee)
Lineage: Eukaryota; Metazoa; Arthropoda; Insecta; Hymenoptera; Apidae
Exons: 4
Source: RefSeq, a predicted model, not a curated record
UUAUUUGAAAUAUUAGUUAUAAAAAAAGAAGAAGAAGAAAUCAGUCAUCAAUUUGUUCAGGAAGAACAAAAAAAUAAACGAUGUUGUUCAAAAAUGGCAGCUGUUUAUUAAGAAAAAAAGAAGGGCACCCAUCGUGUUGAACGGGCUUCAAACAAAUGACAAUUGAUAAGUGUGACAGGUGAUUGAAUGAUGAAAAACAAAGACUUGGAAUUAGUGGAACGAUGAAGGAAGGUAACAGUGGAAUUUCUCUCUGGAGAGGACCUACGUGCAUUUCUCGCUGUGGCCGCAGAAAAAAAGCGUUUGCCUGCGAUGAUCACCGAUUCCCUCGUGAAUCUCACCCUCGAGGUAUCUGCAUUCACGGUCCGCCUUAAGUACACAGGACUCGAAGUCCUUCUUCAGCCAGUUCGGAUCCGGCAGUGGAUCCCGGACUAUGUUGAUGUAAAUUGGCUGAGGCAGGUUGAACCUGUGAGGAAAAACAGCCCUAUGUCAGAUGUCUCGUGGGAAUCUGACUCACCUCACUUCCAGUUACAUUAAAAAUUGGAUAAUUGCAUUAAAUUCUCUUUAACAUAUCCAUGAAAAAAAAAAUUUUGUAUUUGAUGAAAUAUAAUGGAAAUGAACGA